RNAcentral lists this ribosomal RNA (464 nucleotides) under uncultured Methanomicrobiales archaeon. RNAcentral describes it as "bacterial SSU rRNA". It matches the Rfam family "Archaeal small subunit ribosomal RNA", at positions 875 to 1338 of the family's 1478-position model. The record is from RNAcentral. Lineage: Archaea; Methanobacteriati; Methanobacteriota; Methanomicrobia; Methanomicrobiales.
AGCACCACAACAGGUGGAGCCUGCGGUUUAAUCGGACUCAACGCCGGGAAACUCACCAGAUAAGACAGCUGAAUGAUAGUCGGGCUGAAGACUCUACUUGACUAGCUGAGAGGAGGUGCAUGGCCGUCGUCAGUUCGUACUGUGAAGCAUCCUGUUAAGUCAGGCAACGAGCGAGACCCACGCCAACAGUUGCCAGCUCGUCCUCCGGGAUGGUGGGGACACUGUUGGGACCGCCUCUGCUAAAGAGGAGGAAGGAAUGGGCAACGGUAGGUCAGCAUGCCCCGAACUAUCUGGGCUACACGCGGGCUACAAUGGGUGGGACAAUGGGUAUCGACACCGAAAGGUGAAGGCAAUCUCCUAAACCCAUCCGUAGUUCGGAUUGUGGGCUGCAACUCGCCCACAUGAAGCUGGAAUCUGUAGUAAUCGUGUCUCAAAAUGGCACGGUGAAUAUGUCCCUGCUCCUU